This is a long non-coding RNA of Hyposmocoma kahamanoa, 408 nucleotides long. RefSeq lists it as uncharacterized. Lineage: Eukaryota; Metazoa; Arthropoda; Insecta; Lepidoptera; Cosmopterigidae. The record is from RefSeq and is a predicted model, not a curated record. The transcript is spliced from 3 exons.
CAGCCCCAAUUGCUGUAGACACUUUCUUCUUACUAAGCGGUUUGCUGAUUGUCUACACUACUGUUGGGAAACUUAGCAAUAUGUCUACCUCAUACUUGGUACUUAGCAAUCGAUAUGCAACUAUAUAUUCUGUCUCCACUGAUUUUAUUCUGCGUAUUGUCUGGGAAAAAGAAUCGUGCCUGGUCGGCUUUGAUUGCUGGAUUAUUAGUUUGUCUCACUGCGUCAACAAUUUACAACUUCUUGAAUAAUUUUACUGGAACAAUGUUUCGACCUGCAUUAAGCAUGGAAGAGGGUCAAAGAUACUGGAGAAACUAUUACCUCAAUACUUUAACAAGAUGUUCCCCUUUCGUUGUUGGAAUGUGCUUUGGGUACUUGAUCCACUAUUGGCGUGAAAAUAAUAUUCGAUUG